Molecule: transfer RNA, 90 nt
Organism: Sphaerobolus stellatus SS14
Lineage: Eukaryota; Fungi; Basidiomycota; Agaricomycetes; Geastrales; Sphaerobolaceae
Rfam family: tRNA
About the family: Transfer RNA (tRNA) molecules are approximately 80 nucleotides in length.
Source: Rfam
UCUUGGGUAGUAUAGUGGUUAGUAUUCGCGUCUGUCAAGGGGUUCAACUCUACAACGCGCGAGACCAGGGUUCAAUUCUCUGCCUGAGAG